RNAcentral lists this ribosomal RNA (497 nucleotides) under uncultured bacterium. RNAcentral's name for it is "partial 16S ribosomal RNA". It matches the Rfam family "Bacterial small subunit ribosomal RNA", at positions 28 to 507 of the family's 1533-position model. The record is from RNAcentral.
GAUGUACGCUGGCGGCGUGCCUAAUACAUGCAAGUCGAGCGAACAGAUAAGGAGCUUGCUCCUUUGACGUUAGCGGCGGACGGGUGAGUAACACGUGGGUAACCUACCUAUAAGACUGGGAUAACUUCGGGAAACCGGAGCUAAUACCGGAUAACAUUUGGAACCGCAUGGUUCUAAAGUGAAAGAUGGUUUUGCUAUCACUUAUAGAUGGACCCGCGCCGUAUUAGCUAGUUGGUAAGGUAACGGCUUACCAAGGCAACGAUACGUAGCCGACCUGAGAGGGUGAUCGGCCACACUGGAACUGAGACACGGUCCAGACUCCUACGGGAGGCAGCAGUAGGGAAUCUUCCGCAAUGGGCGAAAGCCUGACGGAGCAACGCCGCGUGAGUGAUGAAGGGUUUCGGCUCGUAAAACUCUGUUAUUAGGGAAGAACAAACGUGUAAGUAACUGUGCACGUCUUGACGGUACCUAAUCAGAAAGCCACGGCUAACUACGUG